RNAcentral lists this ribosomal RNA (253 nucleotides) under uncultured bacterium. RNAcentral describes it as "partial 16S ribosomal RNA". It matches the Rfam family "Bacterial small subunit ribosomal RNA", at positions 524 to 776 of the family's 1533-position model. The record is from RNAcentral.
UACAGAGGUCCCAAGCGUUGUUCGGAUUCACUGGGCGUAAAGGGUGCGUAGGCGGUCGGGUACGUCUGACGUGAAAUCUCCAAGCCUAACUUGGAAACUGCGUUGGAUACUAUCCGGCUCGAGGAAUGGAGGGGAGACUGGAAUACUUGGUGUAGCAGUGAAAUGCGUAGAUAUCAAGUGGAACACCAGUGGCGAAGGCGAGUCGCUGGACAUUUCCUGACGCUGAGGCACGAAAGCCAGGGGAGCAAACGGG